UUCCUAGUUGGAUUCGUUUCUGAUGCGCCACAACAGGAACUCCUAUACACAUUCUUUUUUCCCAUAAAGGUUAUUACGAACUACUUCCCUGUGAUAUACAAUAAGUUCUUGUUAAUUAUCUGUUUUAUAAAGUGGUGUGUAUAUGGUAACUCCCAUUCUCCUAAUUCCUCUCUUCCCCCACUUGGGAGAAACUUAAAACUUCAAAACCUAUGAUUCCUAAGCAACAUAAUGGCAACACCAGUUUAGUUUUACCAUAAUAAAUAAUAAGUGAGGAUUAAAAAAAAAAAAUGAUAGGUCUGAAGAGUUCUCACUGUGGCACAGCAGGUUAAGGAUAUGGUGUUGCCACAAGCUCUGGUUUAGGUCGCAGCUAGUUCCUGCUGUGGCACAGUGGGUUAAGAAUUCAACUGCAAAAGUUCCUGUUGUGGCUCAGCCAAAACAAAUCUGACUAGUAUCCAUGAGGACUGGGGUUCGAUUCCUGGUCCCACUCAGUGUGUUAAAGGAUCUGAUGUUUCCAUGAGCUGUGAUAUAGGUCAAAGAUGGAGCUCAGAUCUGCUGUUGCUGUGGCUGUGAUGUAGGCCAGCAGCUACAGCUCCAAUUCAACCCCUAGCCUGGGAACUUCCAUAUGCCCUGGAUGUGGCCCUAGAAAGCAACAAGAUCAACAACAAAAAAAUCCAAUUACAGUGGCUUGGGUUGCUGCAGAGGCAAGGGUUUGAUCCCCAGCCCAGUGCAGGGGAGUUAAGGAUCUGGUGUUGCUCUAGGUCACAGCUACAGCUCAGAUUCGAACCCUGGCCCAGGAACUUCCAUAUGCCGCAGGUGUGGCCAUAAAUAAAUUUUAAAAAUUUUUAAAGAAAAAAGAAGUAUUCAAAAAAAACAAAGAAAAAAGUGCAGUGUUGAUGAAAAAUCUGAAUUACAUAAAGCUACUUAAUUGAAAUAUAUUUUAAUGACACACACAAAAGGAGGCAAAAUAUAGUGGCUGUUUCUUAAGACGGCAGAGACCUAAGCAUAUGUAAAUGUUGAAGGAUGGAGUUAUUAGGGAGGAGUAAGUUGAAAAAAUAGACCAAAGUAGAUUAACCUGAGAAUGGAGGAAGGAUUUCUCUUCACUAGCAUCUGGAGGGACAGAUGUGGGUCAUGAGUGUAAUGGCAGGAAAUUGAAGGUUUCUUUGUGAAGCAGUGGGGUGUUGAGUUUAAGUGAUACUGAGAAGCUUUAAAAGAUUUACUUAAAAGAUGCCUUUAGGCCUGCCUGAAUUUUUAGUUUGUUUGUUUUGUUUUGUCUGUGCCUGAGGCAUGUGAAAGUUCCUGGGCCAGAGACUGAACUCAAGCCACAGCAGCAAUCCAAGCCACUGCAGUGACGACGCAGGAUUCUUAACCCACUGAACCACACAGGAACUCUUAUCAUAAUAUUCAAAACUUUUCAUAAUGCAGUCCCCAAUACAUCCUCAGCUUCACUGGUCCACACAUUCUCACUCCCAAACAAACUUUACCUCUAACCAAACUUAAUCUAGAGUCCCUCAAAAGUUUCUCUUACGGAUGUUUGUUCUUGCAGAGCCCUCUGCCUACCAUGCCUUUCUCAUCUCCCUGCAAACAUCUCUCAUUCCGUAAAAAUCGAAUCCAGGGAGUUCACCACGAUAGGAACCAUGAGGUUGCAGGUUGGGUUCCUGGCCUCGCUCAGUGGGUUAAGGAUCCAGCAUUGCUGUGAGCUGUGGUGUAGGUUGCCGAUGUGGCUCGGAUCCUGUGUUGCUGUGGCUGUGGUGUAGGCUGGCAGCUAUAGCUCCAAUUAGAACCCUAGCCUGGGAACCUCCUCAUGCCAUGGGUGUGGCCCUAAAAAGAAAAAAAAAUUGAAUCCAAUCACCCAACAUCCCUGAAGGCCCCCCCCUUUAUCACAGCUACCCUUCACCUGCUGAGCCUGGUUAGGUGCCUUUUUUUUUAUAGUUCCUUCUGCAUAUCUCUUCAUCUCAGCAUUUUUCUUUAGAAAUUUUAAACACUGGCUUUCUCUCAAUCGCUUUUUUUUUUUUUUCUUUUUAGUGCCACAUCUUCGGCAUAUGGAAUUUCCCAGGCUGGAGGUUGAAUCAGAGCUUCAGCUGCUGGCCUACACCACAAUCACAACACCACCUAUGCUGCAGCCUGCAGCAACAGAGGAUUCUUAACCCACUAAUCAAGGCCAGGGAUUGAACCCACAACCUCAUGGUUCCGAGUCGGAUUCGUUAACCACUGAGCCACGACGGGAACUCCUACUAGUUCGAUUCUUAACCUGCUGAGCCACAACCAGGAAGUCCAACACUGGCUUUCUCAUUUUUUCCAAUAAUCAGAAACUUUUUUUAAUUUCUGGAUUUCUUAGUAGGCCUGGUAUACUAUAGACAAAUGAAUAAAUAUUCAAUAAAUGAGUGGAAGAUGAUUAUUUCAGAGCUUCCAAUACUUGUCUCUAAUGGGUAAAAUAUAAGAUUAUUUUUUACAAAUGGAGAAACUUAAGACAGGAAGGAAUGUGCACCAAUAGUAACAUCAGCAGAACAAAGACUAAUAAAAAAAUUCAUGUAAAAUAAUCUUUUACUUGGACAAAUUAAGAUUCUAACAUGAGUUCCUGUUGUGGCUCAGUGGGUUAAGAAAAUGACAUAGUCUCUGUGAGGAUCCAGGUUCGAUCCCUGGCCUCACUCAGUGGGUUAAGGAUCUGGCAUUACCGCAAGCUGCAGUGUGGUCACAGAUGCAGCUCAGAUCUGGUGUUGCUGUGGCAUAGGACUGCAGGUGCAGCUCCGAUUCAACCUCAGCCUGGGAACUUCUAUAUGCUGCAGGUGAGGCCAUAAAAAGAAAAAAAAAAAAAAAAAAAAAAAAAAAAAAAGACUAACUACAAUCUAAAGAAUAGAACAAAUGGGAGUCUCUAAAUCAUAACAAAUAAAAUCCUCUAAACAUGUAAGCAUCAAGUUUCCAAUAUUUACUACAGAUGAUAUAGCUACUCUGAUUUAGGGAUUCGAAAUCGUUAAGACCAUUCCUCUCCCAUACACCACAAAAUUCUAGCACAACCAGAGUGUGACCUAAAAAAAAAUAUCAUUAGAGAUACUUGAAAGAGUUUUCCUUCACUUACGAGUUUUCCUUCACUUAUGAAAAGCCUCAUGUCUAGCUGGCCAUGUCACAGUUGGCUAGUACUUUUGUACACAUUUAACUAGCUAGGUCCUUUUCGAAUUAGAAACAAACAAAACAAAGAGCUUGAUAUUGCCCAGAACCACCUGGGAUGACAAACUUGUUCUCCUUGAAUAUCUUAUACUUUACAAAAUCCUGUGGGCCUCUCAAGUCACCAGUUCACGUUCCAUCCUCAUGCAAAGGCAGCUAUAUUAUAGUGAAAGAAUCAGUCCAAAGGUCAAAGUGCAGCUGAGGGCUAGCUCUCUCCACAAAGAGCCUUCCCUUCUACAGGUAGAUUUUCUUCACUACCCAACCAGUUUCUACAUCUGAGAGAUGUGGGGAGAAAGGGAGGAACUCAUUACUAACUACAAUUAAAGCUAAUUCAAAAAAACAGGGAGAAGAGAGAAGUUCUCAUUAUGACACAUGGGUUAAGAAUCCAAUUGCAGCAGCCUGGGUCACAUCAAAGGCACGGGUUCAAUCUUUGGCCAGCUGCAGUGGAUUAAAAGGUCUCAGCUGCAGCUCAGAUUCAAUUCCUGGCCCUGGUAUACAGUGGGUAAGGCCAUUCAAAAAGAAAGAAAGAAAAAAAGGCAACGGGUAGGAAAUAAAAAAGAAGCAAAUACCUUCCAGGUAAUGUUUAGAAAUUCCUUAACAUUUGUUAUCUUUCUCUUGACAGCUCAAAAAGCUUCAGAGAACUACCAUUCCUAUGAAACAAGGGUAAGAUUAGCCUGCUACAUUUGGAAAAAUUAAUGCUGGCCCAAGUAUAUACCAAGUAUUAAGACUCAGAACUUUCUUAAGUCAUGGGCAAAGCCAAAGACAGCCAGAGUAAGGUGGGGUCCCAGAAUUAGUCUCACCUAUAGGAGAAUGGAUUGUGCACAUUAGCGAAUGACUAGAGAAGGGAAAAACAAACAAAAGCAAAAAGUCACUCCACCUGAUUUCAAAUCAAAUAAACCCUCCAACCCUAACCAAGCCAAAGGAGAACUCCCUCUCUACAGAACACACCAGAGAAAGAUUUUGAUUUUCUCACAGCUGCCCCUAGUACUCAUUUAUCUUAUUUUUUUGGCCAUGCAGGCCACAUGCGGAAAUUCCAGGGCCAGGGAUCUAACCCAAGCCACAGUAGUAACAAAGAAUCCUUAACCUCUAGGCCAAAAGGCAAUUCCUUUUUUCCCCCCUUUGAUGCUCAUGUUAACCCAAAAACAAAACGAAAGGCAGCAUUCUGUGAUACUGCCAGCCUCUAGACAACUCUCAGUACUGUUGCUUCCACCUAAAUGCCUCAUUCAGAAACUAGCUCAUUUCCUGGGAUAAUUCAAUGGUUAAUUUUGGGAAGUGCAGCAUGAUGGAGAGAGCCUUGUAGUCAGUGACUUGGAUCUGAUUCCUGGCCCUGGUACUUAGCUGGGUUUGUCUUAUUCAAAUAAGUCAAUUUUGGAGUCUUAGUUUCCUCAUCUUCAGAACGGGACUAAUAACCUAAUCUGCAGGUCUCCAGUAAGAAGAAGAGACAGACCAACCAAGUGGUUGAUGCGCCAUAAUAGCUGUUAUUUCAACGAGCUCCUACAAACUACAGAUGCUGUGUGAGACAGUGUAAAGAUAGAGGUGAAUGCUCUCCUCGUUACCAAUGAUAAGAUUCCUAAAUGUGCUUAGUUUUCAAAAUUCUUUUUGUCUAUCUUUUCUGCCCGUGAUGAAUACAGCAAGCAAUUAAAACAGCUAAAAUUGACAGAGCACCAAACUGUUUAUAAAAUGUUUACAGGCUCAAGGUUAAGAAUACCUAAGUUUUAAGCAGUCCCCAAAUAACUGGUAGAAAUAAAACGAGAAGCCAGGCAACCAAGCAACCCAGGGUGUCUUUUUUCGCGGCCUCCUGAUUUCACUGAAGCGCUCGGGGGCGGGGGGGGGCUGCUCCUGGUUGGGGUAAUUUCCAGCCAUCUGACUCCUCACUCACCAACACUGCGUGCUGGAGAAUAGACGUUCGUUUGGCCUCCACGCCGCACUACGAGGCGGGUUAUUAAGGGCGGGUUCUGGCCUUCGAAUGUCGAAGGUCACUAAAAAGCCUCUUGAACAGAGCUCAUGCUUCUCCAAGUGCAAAGAAGAACGCUUCUCCUCUCUCUCCGAGAACUCCAUCGUCCUGACGCCACCGCGUCCUCGCCCUUCGAGCUGCCUCACCUCAGCUUUCCCGCCCUCAGCGGCUGCACGAGAGACCCGCCG
This 5301-nucleotide long non-coding RNA is filed under the name Sus scrofa (pig). RNAcentral's name for it is "lncRNA (ENSSSCG00055010537.1)". The record is from RNAcentral. Lineage: Eukaryota; Metazoa; Chordata; Mammalia; Artiodactyla; Suidae.